This 749-nucleotide long non-coding RNA is filed under the name Brassica napus (rape). RNAcentral's name for it is "long non-coding RNA (BNAP_LNC001987)". The record is from RNAcentral. Lineage: Eukaryota; Viridiplantae; Streptophyta; Magnoliopsida; Brassicales; Brassicaceae.
UAAUAUCAAGCAAUAAUCAGUGGUUCAAAAAUUGUGAUAUACAUGGGUUUCAAAGCUAAAGUGCAGAAGUUCAAGUUCUGAGAAUUGAAGCUAAGUGUGAGAAUCAAAAGUGAAGUCUGAAUGGGUUUUGCUUCAGGUGGAGUCUUGUUACUACAUGGUUUGUAGUGCACACCAGCAGGUGUUUUUUUGGCUCCAGUGGGAGCUUGGUUUAUUCAGAAGGUCUCACAGGUUGCUUCAGUUGGAGAAUGGUUUUGAGGAUAUAGUAAUCAGUUUGCAAGAGUUAUGAAGAUUCUGGUUGAUUCAGUAUGGUAAGAUGUACAAAGAGUCAAGUGCAGACAGUUCUCAUCAUCAGAUUAAAAGUUCAACCGAGGGUAUAUGCAGAUGGGUUCAGUGGUUAUUGGAUAUUGUGGAGUGUGUAAUCAUUCAGUCCGUCAAUAUGUGUUCAUCAGAGGAAUGCUACAGAGUCGUCAGUCCAGAGACGUCAAGGCAGGUAGUGGUAAAUAAAUUCUGCAGUAGAACUAAAGUUUGUUUUGCAGGUUUUACAGAACAACAUGAUACUUAGUUCAAGGUGGAGCUGCUUCAGAAACUGAUCAAGUCGUAUAGACUAAAGCGGCUCAAGUAUAAGGGACCAAAGAAGUGGUCUGUACAAUUUUCUGAAGACAGAAACUGAAGGAGACAAAGAGCAAAGAAUUAUAAGGUUGUCUCAAGGGUAUUAUUUCAGUAAAAGUCAGAGAUUGUUUUGCUUGUAG